AGCCAAACAGCUAGCCCAUUUAACUAACAUCAUCACAAAUCCAUAACUACACCCUAAUUUACUAAAACUAACCAACAAACCAUUUUCCCCUUUUAGUAUGGGAGACAGAAAAAAAACUAAGAGCAAUAGAGAAAGUACCGCAAGGGAACGCUGAAAAAGAAAUGAAAUAAACCAGUUAAGCAAAAAAAAGCAGAGACCCAACCUCGUACCUUUUGCAUCAUGAAUUAGCCAGUAACCCCUAAGCAAAACGAAUUUUAGUUUAGUUCCCCGAAACUGGGUGAGCUACUCCAAGACAGCCUAAAAAUAGGGCAAACCCGUCUCUGUGGCAAAAGAGUGGGGAGAGCUUUGAGUAGAGGUGAAAAUCCUACCGAACCCAGUAAUAGCUGGUUGCCUGAGAAAUGAAUAGGAGUUCAGCCUUUUCCCUUCUUCCCCCUAAAAUGGUCCCCACCUAAUAUGCAGAGUAAAAGAAGAGAAAAGAGUUAGUCAAAGAAGGGACAGCUUCUUUGAAAAAAGACACAACUUUUAAAGGAGGUAAAAAAUCAAAUUUUGAUUAAGGCAACAUGUUAUGGUGGGCCUAAAAGCAGCCAUCCCAAAAGAAAGCGUUAUAGCUCAAACAUCACCCCCGCCUUUAAUACUGAUAAACUAAUUUUAUACCCCUUAACCUAACAGGCCUCUCUAUCAUAAUAUAGAAGAGAUAAUGCUAAUAUGAGUAAUAAGAGACGCAACUCUCUCCAGGCAUAAGUGUACAUCAGAACAGACCCCCUACUGAAAAUUAACGACUCCAAACAAAGAGGAUACUGGAGAAUAAACAGAUAACUAGAAAACCCUCCAACAAUUACCGUUAACCCCACACUGGAAUGCCCCAUGGAAAGACCUAAAGGAGAAGAAGGAACUCGGCAAACAUAAUAACGGCCCCGCCUGUUUACCAAAAACAUCGCCUCUUGCUUAAAAAAUAUAAGAGGUCCCGCCUGCCCUGUGACAAAAAGUUUAACGGCCGCGGUAUCUUAACCGUGCGAAGGUAGCGCAAUCACUUGUUUCUUAAAUGGAGACCUGUAUGAAUGGCAUUACGAGGGCCAAACUGUCUCCUUCCCCUAGUCAAUGAAAUUGAUCUCCCCGUGCAGAAGCGGGGAUAAAAACAUAAGACGAGAAGACCCUUUGGAGCUUAAGACUAAAGACAGACCAUGCUAAUAAAACCAAACAAACGGUUAUAAGCCAAUUGGAAAACACUGUUCUAAUGUCUUUGGUUGGGGCGACCGAGGGGAAACAAAAAACCCCCAUGUGGAGCAGGAGAACUUUUCUCCCACAACCCAGAUCAACAGAUCUAAGUACCAGAAAUUCUGACCAAAAAGAUCCGGCAAAGCCGAUCAACGGACCGAGUUACCCUAGGGAUAACAGCGCAAUCCCCUUUUAGAGCCCAUAUCGACAAGGGGGUUUACGACCUCGAUGUUGGAUCAGGACAUCCUAAUGGUGCAGCCGCUAUUAAGGGUUCGUUUGUUCAACGAUUAAAGUCCUACGUGAUCUGAGUUCAGACCGGAGAAAUCCAGGUCAGUUUCUAUCUAUGAAUUAUUCUACUCUAGUACGAAAGGACCGAAUAGAAAAGGCCCAUUCCCAAAGCAAGCCUUACCCUUACCUAAUGAAGACCAACUAAAAUAGGUAAAAGGAUAUAUACCCACCGACUGUAGAAAACAGUAU
Molecule: ribosomal RNA, 1692 nt
Filed under: Hemiramphus far (blackbarred halfbeak)
Lineage: Eukaryota; Metazoa; Chordata; Actinopteri; Beloniformes; Hemiramphidae
Description: 16S ribosomal RNA
Rfam family: Bacterial large subunit ribosomal RNA (bases 96-1610)
Source: RNAcentral